This 448-nucleotide ribosomal RNA is filed under the name uncultured bacterium. RNAcentral describes it as "bacterial SSU rRNA". It matches the Rfam family "Bacterial small subunit ribosomal RNA", at positions 50 to 518 of the family's 1533-position model. The record is from RNAcentral.
CAUACAUGCAAGUCGAACGAGAAUCUGACUUCGGUCAGAGGAAAGUGGCGGACGGGUGAGUAAAAUGUAGAGAAUCUGCCCUAGAGAGAGGGACAACAGUUGGAAACGACUGCUAAUACCUCAUAUGCGCGUAGCUGAGAUGCUAUUCGUGAAAACUCCGGUGCUCUGGGAUGAGUCUGCAUCUGAUUAGCUAGUUGGCGGUGUAAUGGACCACCAAGGCGACGAUCAGUAGCUGGUUUGAGAGGAUGAUCAGCCACAAUGGGACUGAGACACGGCCCAUACUCCUACGGGAGGCAGCAGUAGGGAAUUUUGCGCAAUGGGGGAAACCCUGACGCAAGCAACGCCGCGUGAUUGAAUAAGCCCUUCGGGGUGUAAAGAUCUGUCAGUAGGGACGAAACUUGACGGUACCUACAGAGGAAGCAUCGGCUAACUCCGUGCCAGCCGCUGC